UCCAGCGGUAGUCAGCUGUCUGGGUCAGUAUCAUGCCUGUGACGGUGUUACACUGCUGGGAGAUAAAAGUACUGCCUGUUUUAUCUGUCUGUCACUGUCUCCGUUCUGGAGGCAGCUGACACCAGUUUGGGGCAAUACUGUGCUUCUCUGAGAGUGUGCUGAGCAGUUAACAUUCUACUCAGCACUAGUCUGGGAGCAUACACA
Podarcis muralis (Common wall lizard) is the source of this 204-nucleotide small nucleolar RNA. Its record names the gene SNORA74. It matches the Rfam family "Small nucleolar RNA SNORA74". From Rfam's summary of the family: U19 belongs to the H/ACA class of snoRNAs. snoRNAs bind a number of proteins (including dyskerin, Gar1p and Nop10p in the case of the H/ACA class) to form snoRNP complexes. This class are thought to guide the sites of modification of uridines to pseudouridines by forming direct base pairing interactions with substrate RNAs. Targets may include ribosomal and spliceosomal RNAs but the exact functions of many snoRNAs, including U19, are not confirmed. Lineage: Eukaryota; Metazoa; Chordata; Lepidosauria; Squamata; Lacertidae. The record is from Ensembl.